Molecule: long non-coding RNA, 325 nt
Organism: Salvelinus namaycush (lake trout)
Lineage: Eukaryota; Metazoa; Chordata; Actinopteri; Salmoniformes; Salmonidae
Exons: 3
Source: RefSeq, a predicted model, not a curated record
CUCAAGUUCAAGAUUGAGGUCCAAAUAACUAAAUACACAUUCGGGAAAAAUAAUGGGCAAUGUCACUAAAAUUCAGAACAUUGAGAAAGGACAAAAGUUUUGGGCAAAAGGAUGGGACAGUAAUUUUUAAGACAAAGACAUAUGAAUCGCACCAGAGGAAAGACAAACAAAAACCAACGAGAAAUAUGCUGCUGGAAUGAACGAGGUCGUUUGUCAUUGAUUUCCAUGGAGCGUGGUGGACAUAGAUGCAACAAUACUCCAAAGCAGGACAUUUCCCCGCAUCCAGGUUAAGGCCUGCUACCAGCAGAAACAUGGAGCACCUCAU